UAAUUAGGGUUUUCUUGCCGGAACCUGGUGGCCCAUAGAACAAUAAAUGUGGGCAAUCUUGCUCGAGAGUACCAAUUUCUUGAGAUUUAGAGCGAUAUCUUGAUGAACAAGAACCUUGUCUAGGGUUUUUGGUCUGUACUUGUCUACCCAAAGCAUGAUUCAAGACGGUGGGUGUGAAUUGAAUUGGUAUGGUGAACAGAACUGGCGGGAAGGGAUCCCAAGAAGCGAGCAUCUACUGCAUUGGGGAUGUUCUU
Molecule: long non-coding RNA, 254 nt
Filed under: Helianthus annuus (common sunflower)
Lineage: Eukaryota; Viridiplantae; Streptophyta; Magnoliopsida; Asterales; Asteraceae
Description: sRNA HanXRQr2_Chr14g0657841
Source: RNAcentral